This 466-nucleotide ribosomal RNA is filed under the name uncultured bacterium. RNAcentral's name for it is "partial 16S ribosomal RNA". It matches the Rfam family "Bacterial small subunit ribosomal RNA", at positions 28 to 507 of the family's 1533-position model. The record is from RNAcentral.
GACGAACGCUGGCGGUGUGCUUAACACAUGCAAGUCGAACGGUAAGGCCCUUUCGGGGGUACACGAGUGGCGAACGGGUGAGUAACACGUGAGUAACCUGCCCUCAUCCCUGGGAUAACAGUCGGAAACGGUUGCUAAUACUGGAUAUGAGCUUGCAAGGCAUCUUGUGGGUUGGAAAGAUUUUUUUGGUUGGGGAUGGACUCGCGGCCUAUCAGCUUGUUGGUGAGGUAGUGGCUCACCAAGGCUUCGACGGGUAGCCGGCCUGAGAGGGCGACCGGCCACAUUGGGACUGAGAUACGGCCCAAACUCCUACGGGAGGCAGCAGUGGGGAAUAUUGCACAAUGGACGGAAGGCUGAUGCAGCAACGCCGCGUGCGGGAGGACGGCCUUCGGGUUGUAAACCGCUUUCAAUUGUGACGAAGCUUUUUGUGACGGUAGCAGUAGAAGAAGCACCGGCUAACUACGUG